GCAAACUUGGUCAUUUAGAGGAAGUAAAAGUCGUAACAAGGUUUCCGUAGGUGAACCUGCGGAAGGAUCAUUAUUGAAUAAACUUGGUUUGAGUUGUUGCUGGCUUUUAAAAGCAUGUGCACACUCGGCCAUACUUCAAUCUAACCCACCUGUGCACAUUGCAUAAAUCUUUUGAGUGCUUGAGAAUAAGCUUGUAAUAAGCAUUAUACCGCAUUGAAAGGUUUAUGUUAUAUUAUAAACACGAUGAAUGUAUCAGCAUGUCCUUAAGAAUAAAAAAAAAAAAAAAACAACUUUCAACAACGGAUCUCUUGGCUCUCGCAUCGAUGAAGAACGCAGC
This 337-nucleotide unclassified non-coding RNA is filed under the name uncultured fungus. RNAcentral describes it as "partial contains small subunit ribosomal RNA, internal transcribed spacer 1, and 5.8S ribosomal RNA". The stretch from base 1 to 73 matches the Rfam family "Eukaryotic small subunit ribosomal RNA", at positions 1759 to 1831 of the family's 1831-position model. The record is from RNAcentral. Lineage: Eukaryota; Fungi.